Molecule: ribosomal RNA, 491 nt
Filed under: uncultured bacterium
Lineage: Bacteria
Description: partial 16S ribosomal RNA
Rfam family: Bacterial small subunit ribosomal RNA
Source: RNAcentral
AGUGAACGCUGGCGGUAGGCCUAACACAUGCAAGUCGAACGGCAGCACAGUAAGAGCUUGCUCUUACGGGUGGCGAGUGGCGGACGGGUGAGGAAUACAUCGGAAUCUACUUUUUCGUGGGGAUAACGUAGGGAAACUUACGCUAAUACCGCAUACGACCUACGGGUGAAAGCAGGGGAUCUUCGGACCUUGCGCGAUUGAAUGAGCCGAUGUCGGAUUAGCUAGUUGGCGGGGUAAAGGCCCACCAAGGCGACGAUCCGUAGCUGGUCUGAGAGGAUGAUCAGCCACACUGGAACUGAGACACGGUCCAGACUCCUACGGGAGGCAGCAGUGGGGAAUAUUGGACAAUGGGCGCAAGCCUGAUCCAGCCAUACCGCGUGGGUGAAGAAGGCCUUCGGGUUGUAAAGCCCUUUUGUCGGGAAAGAAAAGCAGCAGGUUAAUACCCCGCUGUUCUGACGGUACCCAAAGAAUAAGCACCGGCUAACUUCGUG